UAGGAGUGGGACAAGCUAGCUCAGAAUCCAUUUCUUGCCUUUUACCAGAGAUGGCCGUGGCUUUGCCCAAAAUACUCCGCUCCUCAAUCUUUGGAAGAACUCUCGACUACAGUCAG
This is a small nuclear RNA of 116 nucleotides. It matches the Rfam family "U5 spliceosomal RNA". Rfam says of the family: U5 RNA is a component of both types of known spliceosome. The record is from Rfam.